Long non-coding RNA from Ruditapes philippinarum (Manila clam), 3944 nucleotides. RefSeq lists it as uncharacterized. The record is from RefSeq and is a predicted model, not a curated record. The transcript is spliced from 2 exons. Lineage: Eukaryota; Metazoa; Mollusca; Bivalvia; Venerida; Veneridae.
AAACUAUUAAACAAAGGUUAGUCAUUUUCUUUGUUAAAGGGGAAUUAAACAAAUUGUCUUCGGUCACAUAAAGCUAUCAAUAAUAAUGCUUCACUUUUGUUGGACUGAAAAAUAUCUUGAUCUUCAGUUCAAUAUGAGACACAAGGCUGGUUUUAUUGUGACAGAUUUUUUUCCUAAAUUAAAGAUGCCACUGACAUCUCACUAUAGAAAACUGAAGAUUUGCUGUGAAACAGUUUUUAACGGAUACAAAUUAUCAAUAUUAAACCCUCUGUAGCAGGAAAAAAAAGUGACUUUAGCCCAGCUUUAUAUUGAGCAUAUUGUGUAAUAGCUGCACUGCUGGUUCCCGUCAUACACUGCUUUAUUUUUUUUUUUGUUGUGAAGAUUAAGGUUGAAAUCAGGUCAGGUCAAAUGGAAAAAAGGCGUUUACAUGUAUAGCGUUUAUUAAGCUACUUUGAUGAAGUUGAAAAGAGAAAAUUGAAAAGUUAGUUUUGGAUAUUAUAUUGAUUGUGAAGAGUCUGAGGAUUAAGGGAAAUUUAAGGAUGAGUUAAAAAGGUGUUUGAAAUAGUGUUUUAUACUGGGAAAAUUUGAUUUGCAUCUCUUUGUUUUGAAUAAGAAAAGUUUAUUUUUGAUAAUGAUUAUAACUCAGCACCUGGUCAUUGGUGAAGAAAAUUUUUAAAACCAUUGUUUCUGUGACACAUGAUUCUAAAAUGGCUUAUUAGUACAAAAUCUUAAGUAAGGAUUUCAAAUGAAGUAAUAUUUAGAGAGAUUUAAUGGAAAAUAGUAUUGGAAGUUUAAAAUAUAGUUGAUCAAACUGAUUUGUUUUGUUCUAAGUUGUUGUAUAAUUAGAACAGGUAUUGGAAAAAAUUAUCAUGAAUAUUUAUUGGAAAUGAAACUUUUCUAAAAAUAGAAUUAUAUUAAUAGAAAGAUAAUUUUCAAUGAAUUUAUUCUUAAAUAACGCGAAAAAAAUCAGCAAAAAAAUGGAGAGUUUAAAUCAGAUAUGAAAGAAUUGAAUGAACUCGGAAUUCCAAACCUAACAGAGUUGCAGAAAUGUUGAGAAUGAAAAAAUACUAGAAAAAGAUCUCAACAAAUUAUUCAACAGCAGAUUGCCGUGUAGCAUGUAGUGAUGUAUAAUAUUGAUUAAAAGAUGCAACUUUCUGUUACACCGAUCAAUUUCCCCGAUAUUUACUCUGCUUGUAUGACUUUUAAAUUGUAAAGAAAUAUAAAAAAAUGUUAAAGUAACUAGUCAAGUAGUUGUAUCUAUUACAUAUUAUUAUACUAGUCCGCCUAUUUGGUCACGUGUUAGCUUUUUAUCACAGAGACUUGGCGGCCAUGUUGGAUUUAGCAUGUGUUGAAGGGUAGUAGUUCUGAUCAGACCGAGUAAAACUAUCAGUGGCUUUCGUAUGUAUGCAAAAAAAUUUGGAUGGAUGGGCGAGCGCACUCGAAAAAGUCCAGUCUUUGCAAGACUAGGGUUAGGUCGAGGUGUAUUCUGUUAAAAGUGCGUAGUAAAAGGGGUUUUUCUUCGAGAAUGUAGGAGAGAUUUAGAAUGUAUUAAGGUUUUCUGUGACGGAUUUAGCUGUGCGAAGGUCAAAAUGCAGCCUCAAUAGGAAGGAAUUUACUAUUCUUAUGGUAAGUUACGUUUCUUUCGAAUGUGUUUGUUAAAUCAUCUGGGUAGUGAAAGUUAAAUCGUUGUCAGAAAAGUAAAUUUUUGGUGUAAAGUGAUGAAAGGAAAAAGCCCUUUUCCUCUUGAACAGUAGGUUUAAGAUUAUAUAUUCACAGUGAACAAAGGUAUUUUCUGCUAUGCUUGUUAUAUUUCAUACACUGCACACUAAAUUGUUUAACGGAUUUGUUACGAAGUAUAUGCAUAGUGUAAAUGCUUGGUCUGAACUGCUUUAGCUACAUUUUUUACCCGACAUUUUUUUUGAUACAACACUUGUGUAAUCAUUGGAUAAGCGUAUAUGAGGAGCAAUAGAGGGAAAUGUCUAGACUUAACACUAGCACAUGGCCAACGCUCACCAUAUUUUGUGUCAUUGUGAGCUAUGGCAUACACAAACUGCUACCAUCUCUGUUUAAAUCCGUUUGGAGCAUAAGUACAGGUUUAGGUCCAUUUUCAAGCUUCUGUUUCCCAUCACUUGGUGCAUACCCAGGUUUCUUUGAUAAAUUUUAUGCUAAUUUCUAUGUCAUGCAAUCUUAUAUAGGAAAUGAAGGAAAACGGAUUGUAACUUAUGUAGUCUUGCCGACAUUAAACAUUCAGUAGUUUAAAUAGAUAAUUUUCAGUUGAUAUAUUUUGUGGGAUAUGAAACCAUUAGUUUAAAACAUUUAAUAAUUUAGUGUAGGGAAAAAAAAAAGUAGAUUGUAUGUUGCUGUUGUAUAACAUUCAUUAUAUGCGCGAUUUAGCAGAUAUAAAAAGGCGGGCUCUCGAGGUGCAUGUACGUAAGGAAAAUGGCGGAUUCCGGUACAGUUGUAAGCACAUGUAGUAAAAUGUUUUGUCUAGGAAUGCAGUUUAAAUCGUCACGGCAUCUUGAUUGCUAGACUGUAACAAAGUUUAUGCAAUUUGCCUCCUGAGGCAUACAAUUUCAUUGAAAUUUAAUGCAGAUGUAUACUGUUUGGUGUAUGCAUUUGUUAAUAGUUGAAAGUUAGAUGUAUGUGAUUUGUCGGCCAUGUUUGCGCGCGUGAUCAAGGUCGAGAAGGGGGCGCAAUUAAUGAAUAAACCUUAAGUUUUUGUAUUGUAACGAGUUAUGUUUGUAAGUUUUCAUGAAAUUUAAGAAUAAAUUAAUGAAUAAGAAAAUUGUAAAAAGUGCAUAUGAAUGUAGAUGCGCCGCGCAUGCGCGCAUAAGCGCGUAAGUUUGUCUAUGUCAGACAUAUGCGCAAUCGAUGGUAACCGCCAAAACGUGGUUUUAAAGGAUAUGAGGUUGCGCUGGGGAUGUCUAGUGAAAUAUCAUGGAGUGAUUAUGCGUGUCUAGUUUUAGAUGUCUCGAGAUAGGUGCGUAUUACACUGACAGUGCUGUAUUAUAUACAGUGACUUUUUUGUUUUUGACAAAAUAAAAUAUCCUGCAUAGUAGUCUUGGUAUUUGAUCGUGAUUACAUAAAUGUUGCAUGUCGUUAACUUAGCAUAUCUUUUGUCAGUCUAAGUGCAGAGAUUUUUAUUAGAUACGGUUUAUUUAUUGGGAACUAUUUUUUUGCGCGGAUGUGCAUACUUUGUUUAAAAAAGCAGUGGGAAAGGGUGUAACAAGGGGCACAAUCUGUCUGACCUGCUAUAGCUACUGCAUGUUUAAACCAUGCCGUGUUAUACAUGAUACCUUGAUAUGCUUUUGAAUUUGGUUUAAAAAAUAUUCUGAAUACGAAAUGUCUGGAUUAUUAUACGUGCACAUGUGUAACUCUUAACUUGAUUUAUUCAAAAUUUAUGAUACUUCUGGAUUUAUAAAGUUUACCAAGUUUAAAUGCGGAUUUGAAUUUAUAUUGUAAGAUUAUAGAUUGUGCAUGUGGAUAUUAAUAUAAUAUUUGAAUAAAUAAAUAAUGUGAUGUAGAAUUGUGUGAAAACAAAAAGAUUGUCGUUUGCCAGUUCGGUGCUCCUUAUUUCAUUCAAUAUGGUAAGAAAAAUUUUGGUAAUUGUAAAUUUUGGAGCUAUUAGGAAAGCAGUUUUUUUAUACGAUUUUGUGGAUUUAAACAAAACCAAGUGCAGUGCUUGAUCUUGUGAUUUAAAAAAAAAAAAAAUUGUGAUAGCGUCUUAAGAUGUGCGCCAUCUUGGAUAUGUUAUCAAGGUUUAACGAUGGCGUGAUGUACACGAAACUUGAAAAGAUUAGAAAUGGCUGCUAGUGGAAAGGAUGGAGCACGGGUGCCAGUGAAACUUUAUUGUAUAAAGAAAAGAAUAAUUGCCCUGAUCUAUGUAAGUAUAAAACUUUUAUCUCUCUUUGGCAAAGCAAGAACUUUCUAAAUAAAACAACAUA